AUUCUGCCCAUGUGGGGAAGGAUGAGAAGCUUCGACCAAGGUUCGACUCGAGCGCCAGCGAGAGAGCGUUGCCGC
RNAcentral lists this small RNA (75 nucleotides) under Escherichia coli. RNAcentral's name for it is "partial RtT sRNA". It matches the Rfam family "RtT RNA", at positions 1 to 74 of the family's 130-position model. Rfam says of the family: This family represents a bacterial cis-regulatory element known as RtT RNA. The record is from RNAcentral. Lineage: Bacteria; Pseudomonadati; Pseudomonadota; Gammaproteobacteria; Enterobacterales; Enterobacteriaceae.